RNAcentral lists this ribosomal RNA (492 nucleotides) under uncultured bacterium. RNAcentral describes it as "partial 16S ribosomal RNA". It matches the Rfam family "Bacterial small subunit ribosomal RNA", at positions 29 to 507 of the family's 1533-position model. The record is from RNAcentral.
AGUGGACGCUGGCGGUAGUCCUAACACAUGCAAGUCGAACGGCAGCACAGUAAGAGCUUGCUCUUACGGGUGGCGAGUUGCGGACGGGUGAGGAAUACAUCGGAAUCUACUUUUUCGUGGGGGAUAACGUAGGGAAACUUACCCUAAUACCGCAUACGCCCUCCGGGUGAAAGCAGGGGAUCUUCGGACCUUGCGCGAUUGAAUGAGCCGAUGUCGGAUUAGCUAGUUGGCGGGGUAAAGGCCCACCAAGGCGACGAUCCGUAGCUGGUCUGAGAGGAUGAUCAGCAACACUGGAACUGAGACACGGUCCAGACUCCUACGGGAGGCAGCAGUGGGGAAGAUUGGACAAUGGGCGCAAGCCUGAUCCAGCCAUACCGCGUGGGUGAAGAAGGCCUUCGGGUUGUAAAGCCCUUUUGUUGGGAAAGAAAAGCAGCAGGUUAAUACCCCGCUGUUCUGACGGUACCCAAAGAAUAAGCACCGGCUAACUUCGUG